ACCUCUCCGGUUGCUUAGUGGUGAGAGCGUCCGCCUCAGAUGCGGAGGGUUGCGGGUUCGAAACCCAACCGAGGCU
Potamilus streckersoni is the source of this 76-nucleotide non-coding RNA. Lineage: Eukaryota; Metazoa; Mollusca; Bivalvia; Unionida; Unionidae. The record is from the annotation of a GenBank genome assembly.